This 115-nucleotide Y RNA is filed under the name Prolemur simus (greater bamboo lemur). RNAcentral's name for it is "Y RNA (ENSPSMG00000024769.1)". It matches the Rfam family "Y RNA". From Rfam's summary of the family: Y RNAs are components of the Ro ribonucleoprotein particle (Ro RNP), in association with Ro60 and La proteins. The Y RNAs and Ro60 and La proteins are well conserved, but the function of the Ro RNP is not known. Lineage: Eukaryota; Metazoa; Chordata; Mammalia; Primates; Lemuridae. The record is from Rfam by way of RNAcentral.
GGCUGGUCUGAAGGUAGUGACUUAUCUCACUUGAUUGUUCACAGUCAAUUACAGAUUGAACUCCUUUGUUCUACUACUUUUGCCCCUCCUCACUACUGCACUAGACUAGUCUAAA